Molecule: ribosomal RNA, 404 nt
Filed under: uncultured bacterium
Lineage: Bacteria
Description: partial 16S ribosomal RNA
Rfam family: Bacterial small subunit ribosomal RNA
Source: RNAcentral
GAUGAACGCUGACAGAAUGCUUAACACAUGCAAGUCAACUGUGGCGGACGGGCGAGUAACGCGUAAAGAACUUGCCUCCCAGCUAGGGACAACAUUUGGAAACGAAUGCUAAUACCUGAUACUGUGAGAGAGCUUUGCGUACCAUUAGCUAGUUGGAGAGGUCACGGCUCACCAAGGCGAUGAUGGGUAGCCGGCAUGAGAGGGUGAUCGGCCACAAGGGGACUGGGACACGGCCCUUACUCAUACGGGAGGAAGCAGUGGGGAAUAGUGGACAAUAGACCAAAGUCUGAGCAAGCAAUUCUGUGUGCACGAUGAAGUUUUCGGAAUGAAAAGUGCUUUAAGUUGGGAAGCGGUACCAACAGAAGAAGCCACGGCUAAAUACGUGCCAGCAGCCGCGGUAAUAC